CCUACGGGAGGCAGCAGUGAGGAAUAUUGGUCAAUGGACGAGAGUCUGAACCAGCCAAGUAGCGUGAAGGAUGACUGCCCUAUGGGUUGUAAACUUCUUUUAUAUGGGAAUAAAAUGUUCCACGUGUGGGAUUUUGUAUGUACCAAAUGAAUAAGGAUCGGCUAACUCCGUGCCAGCAGCCGCGGUAAUACGGAGGAUCCGAGCGUUAUCCGGAUUUAUUGGGUUUAAAGGGAGCGUAGGUGGAUUGUUAAGUCAGUUGUGAAAGUUUGCGGCUCAACCGUAAAAUUGCAGUUGAAACUGGCAGUCUUGAGUACAGUAGAGGUGGGCGGAAUUCGUGGUGUAGCGGUGAAAUGCUUAGAUAUCACGAAGAACUCCGAUUGCGAAGGCAGUUCACUGGACUGCAACUGACACUGAGGCUCGAAAGUGUGGGUAUCAAACAGGAUUAGAUACCCCUGUAGUC
Molecule: ribosomal RNA, 460 nt
Filed under: uncultured bacterium
Lineage: Bacteria
Description: partial 16S ribosomal RNA
Rfam family: Bacterial small subunit ribosomal RNA
Source: RNAcentral